RNAcentral lists this ribosomal RNA (379 nucleotides) under uncultured eukaryote. RNAcentral's name for it is "partial 18S ribosomal RNA". It matches the Rfam family "Eukaryotic small subunit ribosomal RNA", at positions 592 to 975 of the family's 1831-position model. The record is from RNAcentral.
CAAUAGCGUAUAUUAAAGUUGUUGCAGUUAAAAAGCUCGUAGUUGGAUUUGUGGUGUACUUCGGCGGCCCGUCACUAUGUGAUGGAGCUUGCUGAAGUCGCCAUCCUUGGGUGGAUCCUGUGUGGCAUUAAGUUGUCGUGCAGGGGAUGCCCAUCGUUUACUGUGAAAAAAUUAGAGUGUUCAAAGCAGGCUUAUGCCGUUGAAUAUAUUAGCAUGGAAUAAUAAGAUAGGACCUUGGUACUAUUUUGUUGGUUUGCGCACCAAGGUAAUGAUUAAUAGGGACAGUUGGGGGUAUUCGUAUUUCAUUGUCAGAGGUGAAAUUCUUGGAUUUUUGAAAGACGAACUACUGCGAANGNAUUUAGNAAGGAUGUUUNCAUUA